CAGCCGCCACGGGAAAACGGAGGGGGCUAGCGUUGUUCGGAAUUACUGGGCGUAAAGCGCACGUAGGCUGCUUUGUAAGUCAGAGGUGAAAGCCCGGGGCUCAACCCCGGAUGUGCCUUUGAGACUGCAGAGCUAGAAUCGCGGAGAAGUGAGUGGAAUUCCGAGUGUAGAGGUGAAAUUCGUAGAUAUUCAGAAGAACACCAGUGGCGAAGGCGGCUCACUGGACCGACACUGACGCUGAGGCGCGAAAGCGUGGGGAGCAAACAGGAUUAGAUACCCCCGUAGUCCCCUGUCUCUUAUA
RNAcentral lists this ribosomal RNA (301 nucleotides) under uncultured bacterium. Its description in RNAcentral is "partial 16S ribosomal RNA". It matches the Rfam family "Bacterial small subunit ribosomal RNA", at positions 509 to 808 of the family's 1533-position model. The record is from RNAcentral.